RNAcentral lists this ribosomal RNA (566 nucleotides) under uncultured bacterium. RNAcentral describes it as "bacterial SSU rRNA". It matches the Rfam family "Bacterial small subunit ribosomal RNA", at positions 41 to 599 of the family's 1533-position model. The record is from RNAcentral.
GGCGUGCCUAACACAUGCAAGUCGAACGCGAAAGUUUCUUCGGAAAUGAGUAGAGUGGCGCACGGGUGAGUAACGCGUGGAUUAUCUACCUAUUGGUACGGGACAACAGUUGGAAACGACUGCUAAUACCGUAUAAGCUGGUAACGGGAAAGGGGGCCUCUUCUUGAAAGCUCUCGCCAGUAGAUGAGUCCGCGUUUCAUUAGCUAGACGGUGGGGUAACGGCCUACCGUGGCAACGAUGAAUAGCAGGCCUGAGAGGGUGGCCUGCCACACUGGGACUGGAACACGGCCCAGACUCCUACGGGAGGCAGCAGUGGGGAAUAUUGCGCAAUGGACGAAAGUCUGACGCAGCGACGCCGCGUGGAGGAUGAAGGUUUUCGGAUCGUAAACUCCUGUCAAGAGGGAAGAAACCUAUCAAAAAUAAUACUUUUGGUAAUUGACGGUACCUCUAGAGGAAGCACCGGCUAAUUCAGUGCCAGCAGCCGCGGUAAUACUGAAGGUGCAAGCGUUAAUCGGAAUCACUGGGCGUAAAGCGCUCGUANGUGGCUUUGUAAGUCAGGUGUGAAA